UUAGGGUAAGUGGUGUCAGAUCAGGGGAGGGGAGGGGUGAGGAGGUGGGGGAAGAAGGAGGCGGCCGGCGAGGCGGCUUAGGUUGGGUCUAGGACAACUAAAAGGGACUUAACUAGGCGAGCUUAGGAUGGUUCGGCCACAACUCUUCGUCAAGAGCACGGGAAACCACUCGCCGUUACCGCCGCCGUCCCUCUGACGCCCCGUCCGCCGCCCGUGUUUUCCUCCACCUCGCGCUCGGGCUCGGCAAGUGGUAGCUCCUCCUCCACAGGGUGGAGUGGGCCCAGGCCAGCCUCGGCACGGGGCCGUGGGCGCGGCGGUAGGUACCGCGGUUCGCCUUCUCCCUGCAGAGCCGGAAGCUCUACGACAGCAGCUCCCUCAGGCCGGCGAGCCCUCCGCCGCCCAAGACAAGCCGGCUGGCGCGGAUGCGGCGGCCCUUCGUGGAGGGCAGCCUUCCUGGGACCACGCACCUUCUGUACCUAUCGCUCCGGAUACAGAGCGUCAAGAGGUCGCUGCCGAGCUACGAGCAACGGCCCAAAGCCCCUUCGGCGUAGUCUUAAAUGCUACAGCUAUUUCCCACCUUCCAAGUAUUCUUGUAUUCGACGUCUUCAUACUCCACCUGCCAAAGUCUAUAACGCGAGAGGGGACUGGUCGCUAUAGAACGGAUAAGGUCAAACAGCGGAUAACAAGUGUAACAAUUACACGUCUUACGACCUUCCCUUAGCCUACGAUUACAAUGACUUUAAGUGCUACCAAACCUUAAGACACUACUGCUACUUAUGAGAAAGCCCUAUAAGAGACACUUUAAAAGCUUUCUACCAUCUCUUCAUCAACAACCCUUGUUACUAACAAGUUAUAUACAGAUACUAGAACCUCGUUUAUUUCACAGUCUGGCAUAGGCACGAGUAUGCAGACUACAGUUGUGCCAGUGGAAACGACUACUUUCACCCUUAAACAACAUGAGACCUUCACUACUAUUAGAGACAUUCCAGACCCUAUCCGCAACGGAACAUUCUCUCUUUGGUCGACCACAAAACUGUCCCGUGAAUCUACCCUAAUGUACAUAACUAUCGGCACCACUACCCGCAAUAGAUUAGAGGUUGACGUUCCUAGUCUGAUAGUUUGAAACCCUACAGUCUUCCUACAGGCGGUGGCAUUUUCCCGCUGUUGGUUCUAAUAUACUGACCCUGAUGUCUACCUACAGCAAGGGUAGUGUGCGAUCUAUAAUAUUCGUAGGUUUACUAGACAGAGACCGUUGUAUGUCCCCAGUAAGUCAAGACGCCUGUGAAUAGGCGACGAUGAAGAGAGGUUACGUGUCGUGCCCGGUCUCCAUGUAUAUGUGACCUAGUUCACUGCUAAGGCACGUAUAAAUGCUACACCAUUGGCCCCGCUGGCAGUUCUUCGAGAGUACCGUGCCAAGCUAGUAGUCUCUGACGUGGACCGUAGGAAUGGCGGGUUGCGAACAUUCGAGAAGGACCCUGCCGAUAGACCGGGCCACCCUCCGUAGUCCGCUGUUGCUCCUGGGGAGCCACGAGUGCACGCUGCUCGUCUCCUGAUCGGGAAUGCUGGUCUGUAUGCCCGAGAGAAAACGGGACAUCAUUCAACGUCUCCUGGACCGCACUGUUCGUCACGACUCCGCUCGAGCACUACUUAGAACUACAACCCAACACCGCCAAAUAGUAACUACACGAAUAUACCGUCAUAUUCGUGUUCGUCAAUACGUAACAUACAGACUCCGUUGAACACGAGGAGAACGACAGUGACUAUCUUUUAUCACUACAUUUGUUCUACAUCGGCAACGAAAACAUUUAAACAAACGUCAACUAGUCCACCACAGUCACUGUUUAAGUAUACAUUGAUACGUUCAAAAAAACAAGAACAACAACUCUCUUAACAUUGAUACGUUCAAUUAUUACGUACACGUAAGACAACGGCAUGUCUUUACAUGAGG
This 1948-nucleotide ribosomal RNA is filed under the name Triticum aestivum (bread wheat). RNAcentral's name for it is "partial small subunit ribosomal RNA". Lineage: Eukaryota; Viridiplantae; Streptophyta; Magnoliopsida; Poales; Poaceae. The record is from RNAcentral.